RNAcentral lists this ribosomal RNA (311 nucleotides) under uncultured bacterium. RNAcentral describes it as "bacterial SSU rRNA". It matches the Rfam family "Bacterial small subunit ribosomal RNA", at positions 28 to 335 of the family's 1533-position model. The record is from RNAcentral.
GACGAACGCUGGCGGCGUGCUUAACACAUGCAAGUCGAGCGGUAAGGCCCUUUCGGGGUACGACGAGCGGCGAACGGGUGAGUAACACGUGGGUGACCUCGCCCUUACGCUCUGGGAGUAAGCCUGGGAAACGUAGGGUCGUAAUACCGGAUAUGACUCCAUGACGCAUGUUGUGGGGUGGAAAGCCUUGUGCGGCUAGGGAGUGGGCCCGCGGCUAUCAGCUUGUUGGUGGGGUGAUGGCCACCAAGGCGACGACGAGUAGCCGGCCUGAGAGGGCGACCGGCCACACUGGGACUGAGACACGGCCCAGA